CCUACGGGGGGCAGCAGUGAGGAAUAUUGGUCAAUGGACGAGAGUCUGAACCAGCCAAGUAGCGUGAAGGAUGACUGCCCUAUGGGUUGUAAACUUCUUUUAUAUGGGAAUAAAAUGUUCCACGUGUGGGAUUUUGUAUGUACCAUAUGAAUAAGGAUCGGCUAACUCCGUGCCAGCAGCCGCGGUAAUACGGAGGAUCCGAGCGUUAUCCGGAUUUAUUGGGUUUAAGGGGAGCGUAGGUGGCUUGUUAAGUCAGUUGUGAAAGUUUGCGGCUCAACCGUAAAAUUGCAGUUGAAACUGGCAGUCUUGAGUACAGUAGAGGUGGGCGGAAGUCGGGGUGUAGCGGUGAAAUGCUUAGAUAUCACGAAGAACUCCGAUUGCGAAGGCAGUUCACUGGACUGCAACUGACACUGAGGCUCGAAAGUGUGGGUAUCAAACAGGAUUAGAUACCCCUGUAGUC
This 460-nucleotide ribosomal RNA is filed under the name uncultured bacterium. RNAcentral's name for it is "partial 16S ribosomal RNA". It matches the Rfam family "Bacterial small subunit ribosomal RNA", at positions 338 to 795 of the family's 1533-position model. The record is from RNAcentral.